ACUACUAUGUGUGAAUCAUCGAAUCUUUGAACGCAUCUUGCACUUUUCAGGUCUCCUGAAAAGUAUACUUGUUUGAGUAUCAUAAACACACUCUCUAAGCUAGUCUUGGGAAUUGAGACGUCAUGUUAGCCUGCUAACUUGUGUCUUUUAAUUGAUAUGUCCAGUGUUCUGUGAGGCAGCAAUGCCAUACAGAAGCCUACUCAAUCAAAUGUGAGAUAAACAUCGCACAAAGUAGUUGACAGGUUAAGCUAGACUACGCUCAGAGACGCAAGUCUCAACCUCUGAUCUGUGAUCUCAAAUCAAGUAAGACUACCCGCUGAACUUAAGCAUAUCAAUAAGCGGAGG
Molecule: ribosomal RNA, 345 nt
Filed under: uncultured eukaryote
Lineage: Eukaryota
Description: eukaryotic LSU rRNA
Rfam family: Eukaryotic large subunit ribosomal RNA (bases 290-345)
Source: RNAcentral